Long non-coding RNA from Phocoena sinus (vaquita), 2055 nucleotides. NCBI's taxonomy places the organism in Eukaryota, Metazoa, Chordata, Mammalia, Artiodactyla, Phocoenidae. The record is from Ensembl.
GUGCGCCUGUCAGUCAACGCUGACAGACCGCGGCCCAUUGGUCAGACCCCGCCCGCGUCACCGCCCACUGCCACUGCCCAUUGGACGGUUUGAACACAAAGGCUCCGGCUCGCCCCGCCCGCCGCGUGGGCCAAACGGGCGGGGCAAGGCCAGACAAGAAUCGUGCGUGGGAGGCGCGAGAGAGUGGGUAACCCCUGGUCGCUGGAGGACUCGGAUGGAGCCGGCAAGCGGGGGCUCGACCUGGCCUGACUUCGCACUUGACUCCCGGUCUGGUUGCUCAAAACACUUGAGCCCUGUCCUGGUACUGCCUCAUGCGCCUCACCCCACCCGCGGCCUUCUGGGGCCCAGCUCUCGGCAAGAUGACUCGACAGGGCCGGGGUGCCAGGACCUUAAAGGUAUUGAAGAUGGCACGAGGAAGUGGGGAGCAGGGGAGAUUGACAACCCCUGGCCUAAGACCCACCUGGAGGGGUAGCGUGUAGUUAGCCCUUAGAGGACCUCCCCCAAACGAUUGUUGGAAUCUCUUGCGUAACUGUUUUCUUAGGCAUUUCUACACUUUUUUUUUUUUUUUUUUUACAUAUCAGGAAACAGGUUCAUAGAGUUUUUAAGUGAUUUGCUUAGUCACACAGCUUGAACGAGGCAAAACUGAGAUUAGAAGCUUCUCUCCAUAUCCAAGCCCCCCCCUUUUUUUUUCCAUUUUGGGAUUGAUUUGGGGAUUCCAGACUUGGCAGGAAGCUCUGCCACUUCUCAGUCUGCCCUCAGAGGCCCCCACAUUUCAUGGCAGAAGCUUUUCUUCAUUUGAAGGAGGAUGCUCGCCCCAGUUGGUGCUGAGAAGGCAAGGCUGGUUGCCUGUUCCUCUGCUUUACUCAAAUCUGAGUGUGGGAAGAGUACUUGAUAGAUAUGGAAUGAAUACCAUGCUGUCUGACUUCAAGGGUCCUGUGCUUCCCACUGGCCAACUCUACAGAUGCAGAAAGUGCCCAGCUUGGGAGGAGUCACUUCCUGGCAGGCUCUUCUAAGGGAAGAUGAAACUGUGGUUACUUCACUUUUAAAGUGCCAAGAGGAAGAGACUAGAAAUAAUGAAAUCAGGACAGGAAGACGCUGGGGGUAGGGGAUUGAGGAAAUGUGAAGCCCUUGUGCUAAGUCGACUCCAUACAUAGAUGACCCCCUGAUCCCUGGGUCUCCACUGCCCCACCCGGAAAGGAGGGGCCUCACCUGCAGUUACAAUCUAUUGAAGACAACGGUGCUUGCCUCUGGGGUUAGGCUUCGAGCCCCUGAAGACAAGGGCUGGCUCGUGUCUGAGUAUCUGCUGAACGUGGGAUGAGUGAAGUGAGAAUUGAAAUCAGACCGAGAGUCCGCCUCCAGGUGGGGGAGGGCCUUCUCUUGACGCCUUCUCCGCCCCAAGGAGCUUAAUGCCUCAGUUCCAUCCUAGCCAAUCCCAGUGGAGCCUCCAUAUCCCGCCCCCUCCGUUGCAGAGCCUGCUUCGCUCCUUUCCAAGGAUCCCGGCAGAAGGACCCCCUUCCCAGGAUGUGCUGGUUUGUAAAGCAAGAGGCCAUGUGCCUUCCACUGGUCUCAGGCAAGGGCCGUGGCCACAGGCUGGCUAGAGGCAGCCCUCUACUAAACUGUGUUGCCUCUGUGGGCCUGUAGUAGGUAAAUAAUGGGCCCCAAAGAUAUUAGGUCCUAAUUCUUGGAACGUGUGAAUGUUAACCGUACAUGGAAAGUCUUUGCAGAUGCGAUUAAAGGAAGGAUUUUGAGAUGGGGAGAUUAUCCUGGAUUAUCAGAGUGGGCUCUAAAUGUAAUCACCAGUGUCCUUUUAAGAGAGAGGCAGAGGAGAAGAGGAGGGGGCAAUGUGGCCACAGAAACAGAAAUUGGAGUGUGCCCACGAGACAAGGAAUGCUGGCAGCCACUGGAAGCUGGGAGAAGCCAGGGACGGAGUGUCCUCCUAGAGUCUCCAGAGGGAGCAAGGCCCUGCCAACACCUUGACUUUCGUCCAGUGAUUUUGGUUUUGGACUUCUGGUCUUCUCAACUAUGAGAGAAUAAAUCUCUGUUGUUUUAAGUCAC